This 1430-nucleotide ribosomal RNA is filed under the name Lactiplantibacillus plantarum. RNAcentral describes it as "bacterial SSU rRNA". It matches the Rfam family "Bacterial small subunit ribosomal RNA". The record is from RNAcentral. Lineage: Bacteria; Bacillati; Bacillota; Bacilli; Lactobacillales; Lactobacillaceae.
GCAGUCGAACGAACUCUGGUAUUGAUUGGUGCUUGCAUCAUGAUUUACAUUUGAGUGAGUGGCGAACUGGUGAGUAACACGUGGGAAACCUGCCCAGAAGCGGGGGAUAACACCUGGAAACAGAUGCUAAUACCGCAUAACAACUUGGACCGCAUGGUCCGAGUUUGAAAGAUGGCUUCGGCUAUCACUUUUGGAUGGUCCCGCGGCGUAUUAGCUAGAUGGUGAGGUAACGGCUCACCAUGGCAAUGAUACGUAGCCGACCUGAGAGGGUAAUCGGCCACAUUGGGACUGAGACACGGCCCAAACUCCUACGGGAGGCAGCAGUAGGGAAUCUUCCACAAUGGACGAAAGUCUGAUGGAGCAACGCCGCGUGAGUGAAGAAGGGUUUCGGCUCGUAAAACUCUGUUGUUAAAGAAGAACAUAUCUGAGAGUAACUGUUCAGGUAUUGACGGUAUUUAACCAGAAAGCCACGGCUAACUACGUGCCAGCAGCCGCGGUAAUACGUAGGUGGCAAGCGUUGUCCGGAUUUAUUGGGCGUAAAGCGAGCGCAGGCGGUUUUUUAAGUCUGAUGUGAAAGCCUUCGGCUCAACCGAAGAAGUGCAUCGGAAACUGGGAAACUUGAGUGCAGAAGAGGACAGUGGAACUCCAUGUGUAGCGGUGAAAUGCGUAGAUAUAUGGAAGAACACCAGUGGCGAAGGCGGCUGUCUGGUCUGUAACUGACGCUGAGGCUCGAAAGUAUGGGUAGCAAACAGGAUUAGAUACCCUGGUAGUCCAUACCGUAAACGAUGAAUGCUAAGUGUUGGAGGGUUUCCGCCCUUCAGUGCUGCAGCUAACGCAUUAAGCAUUCCGCCUGGGGAGUACGGCCGCAAGGCUGAAACUCAAAGGAAUUGACGGGGGGCCCGCACAAGCGGUGGAGCAUGUGGUUUAAUUCGAAGCUACGCGAAGAACCUUACCAGGUCUUGACAUACUAUGCAAAUCUAAGAGAUUAGACGUUCCCUUCGGGGACAUGGAUACAGGUGGUGCAUGGUUGUCGUCAGCUCGUGUCGUGAGAUGUUGGGUUAAGUCCCGCAACGAGCGCAACCCUUAUUAUCAGUUGCCAGCAUUAAGUUGGGCACUCUGGUGAGACUGCCGGUGACAAACCGGAGGAAGGUGGGGAUGACGUCAAAUCAUCAUGCCCCUUAUGACCUGGGCUACACACGUGCUACAAUGGAUGGUACAACGAGUUGCGAACUCGCGAGAGUAAGCUAAUCUCUUAAAGCCAUUCUCAGUUCGGAUUGUAGGCUGCAACUCGCCUACAUGAAGUCGGAAUCGCUAGUAAUCGCGGAUCAGCAUGCCGCGGUGAAUACGUUCCCGGGCCUUGUACACACCGCCCGUCACACCAUGAGAGUUUGUAACACCCAAAGUCGGUGGGGUAACCUUUUAGAACCAGC